Molecule: long non-coding RNA, 235 nt
Organism: Dreissena polymorpha
Lineage: Eukaryota; Metazoa; Mollusca; Bivalvia; Myida; Dreissenidae
Exons: 2
Source: RefSeq, a predicted model, not a curated record
GAAAGAAACCUCAAGCAAAAUGCAAAAUGUUUAAUUUACUCCUAAAUUUUAUCUUAUUUUAAAAGUAUGUACUUAUAUGAAAGGUAUUUUUUAUAUCAGGUGUUCCAUAAUAAGUAUUGGUCAUGUUGUCCGUUUGAUACUUAGCUCAGAGUUCUUAAUUGAUAAUAGUAAUAAUGUAAUCAUAUAAUUAUUACAAAGCAUAAUCAUGAACAAUGAAAUUGUUUAUGUGAAUAAA